Molecule: RNA transcript, 1873 nt
Organism: Brassica oleracea var. oleracea
Lineage: Eukaryota; Viridiplantae; Streptophyta; Magnoliopsida; Brassicales; Brassicaceae
Gene name: lysophospholipid acyltransferase 2-like
Exons: 7
Source: RefSeq, a predicted model, not a curated record
CUCCCAUUUAUCUCUCUCUCUUUCGUCGGAGUCUCUUGCCGAAAUCAGUUUGGUCUCUUCCUCGACUUUCUCUCUUCCUCCUCCAAUCUGGAUCAAUCGACUUUCUCUCUCGAUUCUGUCUCAAUCCAAUCUUUGUCGGCUAUCCAAUCACGAUCACUCCAUCUUCUCUGUCUGGAUUCAAAGACGAUUUUGGUUUGUUUCACCCAUAAAAACGAUUCAAAGACGAUCCAGUUUGUUUAUGGUUUUGUUCUUCCCCUCUCCGCUUUUUUUUUUCACUGAGCCGGUGUACCAUGAAUGGGGGUUCUGGAGAAGAUUCGGUUACCAGUACAUGGCCGGUUUCACGGCUCGUUGGAAGUGCUACUUCAUAUGGUCGAUCUCAGAGGCUUCCAUCAUCAUCUCCGGUUUGGGUUUCAGUGGCUGGACCGACGAGAACACUCAAACAAAGGCGAAAUGGGACCUUGCAAAGAACGUUGAUAUACUAGGUGUGCUAAGAGUGCAGUUCAGAUUCCUCUUGUGUGGAACAUACAAGUCAGCACUUGGCUCCGUCACUAUGUGUAUGAAAGAAUUGUGAAGCAUGGGAAGAAAGCUGGUUUCUUCCAGUUGCUAGCUACUCAAACCGUUAGUGCCGUGUGGCAUGGACUGUAUCCUGGCUACAUUAUAUGCUUUGUUCAAUCAGCAUUGAUGAUCGAUGGUUCAAAAGAACUUUGUGAGAGAUCAUACGUGCUUAUAUCCAUAUCUAUGUGCCUGAUCACCCAACAUACAAAGCUGUUAAGAAAAAUUGUGACACAGUAAUUGACACGUUUUUCUUGGCUUACAUCACUGGAUGGUGGAGAAAGCAAAUUGGAUCAGGAAUCAACCACGUAUGCGGGUGCUUUUGAUUGAUUUGCAGUUAUUGGAAGUUGGUCUUUUGUCUUCGUUCCUUUAUGUUUUUCUCAUGCGUUACCACUAAUACUAUUUAUAUUUAUGUUCUCCAGCUUAAUUUUAGGCACAUAUUUCCAAAUUUAAAUGAAUUCUGGUGAGAGAGUAUUGUUCUGAAUAUCUUGAUAUGCAAUUGAUUUGGCAUGAUCCCUGAAAAACCUUGUCAUCCUAUGUCUUAAAUCUAAGUUGCUACAUAGAAUUGAGUUAUAUCUUAUACUUUUUAAUGUAGGGAUUUGGGCUGGCAUGUAUAGAGUACGCCACUUUGAUGGUCAAACAUACGAAUUUGUGUUCACACAUGACCUAGCUAUCGUAUGUUUGAUGCGAAUAUUGAGCUUUUUUUAGAUGGAAAGGGCAUUGGCGCAGUUCACGCCAACUCAUUGAGACAAAGACGAGUGGAAUCCACUGCAAGGCGCUUGGCGUUUUAUUCAAGUGGAAGCAACAACACAGGAAUACAAUUCAUAUCUCCAAGACCAGUAUAGAUAUUAGCCAGUGUGGUGUUGGUUGAGAUAUGGUUUUAGCAAGAAUGCAGUGAGUAACAUAACUCAAAGACUGAGGCACGGGGACUCCAAACAAUGUGGGAUGGAACUUGGGAAAGAUGCACGUGGCUUAAUUCAUCAAACACUGUGACGGUUGUGGUCAUCUGCUUCUCCUCAGUUCCGACAGACCUCAAUAACCGCAGAGGAUGGUGAAAGUUCUGUGUUUCUGAUGAAGCUCGAGCUCAGUUACGAGCGAUGCUUGAAGGGGCUGAAACCAGUCUUUUUGGCAGUAUAUAUAAAGAGGGGUAUCGACAUAUCGAGACGGAGUGGUGAACCGAGGCGGGAUAUUGGAAAUAUGAUGAAGUCUGGAGAAUGUUGUUCAACUGGUGAACUGAGAUUUGAGAGGGUUGGUGGAUGUAAGAUAAAGCUCGGUAAAUGUAAAACAAGAUUCUAAUGAUUUUAAUACACUUACACAUUAU